RNAcentral lists this ribosomal RNA (300 nucleotides) under uncultured bacterium. Its description in RNAcentral is "bacterial SSU rRNA". It matches the Rfam family "Bacterial small subunit ribosomal RNA", at positions 496 to 795 of the family's 1533-position model. The record is from RNAcentral.
GCAGACGUCGUGGCAACCGCCCGCGUAAUCCGUAGGUGGCAAGCGUUAUCAGGAAUCACUGUGCGUAAAGGUGGCGCAGGCGGCUAUCUACGGCCGGGGUGAAAGCCCAUGUAUCGACACUGGGACGGCCUUGUAUACGUGAUGGCUUGAGGAGCGGAGAGGCAAGGGGAAUUCCACGUGUAGCGGUGAAAUGCGUAGAGAUGUGGAGGAACACCUGUGGCGAAGGCGCCUUGCUGGCCGAUUUCUGACGCUGAGGCGCGAAAGCGUGGGGAGCAAACAGGUUUAGAUACCCUAGUAGUC